RNAcentral lists this ribosomal RNA (429 nucleotides) under Bacteroidota bacterium. RNAcentral describes it as "Bacteroidetes bacterium partial 16S ribosomal RNA". It matches the Rfam family "Bacterial small subunit ribosomal RNA", at positions 355 to 776 of the family's 1533-position model. The record is from RNAcentral. Lineage: Bacteria; Pseudomonadati; Bacteroidota.
UAGGGAAUCUUCCGCAAUGGACGCAAGUCUGACGGAGCAACGCCGCGUGAGUGAAGAAGGUUUUCGGAUCGUAAAGCCCUGUUGUUAAGGAAGAACGAGUGUGAGAAUGGAAAGUUCAUACUGUGACGGUACUUAACCAGAAAGGGACGGCUAACUACGUGCCAGCAGCCGCGGUAAUACGUAAGGUCCGAGCGUUGUCCGGAAUCAUUGGGCGUAAAGGGUACGUAGGCGGGUAAGCAAGUUAGAAGUGAAAUCCUGUAGCUCAACUACAGUAAGCUUUUAAAACUGCUCAUCUUGAGAUAUGGAAGGGAAAGUGGAAUUCCUAGUGUAGCGGUGAAAUGCGCAGAUAUUAGGAGGAAUACCGGUGGCGAAGGCGACUUUCUGGCCAUAAUCUGACGCUGAGGUACGAAAGCGUGGGUAGCAAACAGG